CCUGCUCCUAGUACGAGAGGACCGGAGUGGACGUACCGCUGGUGUAUCGGUUGUCAUGCCAAUGGCAUUGCCGAGUAGCUAUGUACGGAAGAGAUAACCGCUGAAGGCAUCUAAGCGGGAAACUCGUCUGAAGAUUAGGUAUCCCGGGGGCUAGACCCCCCUGAAGGGUCGUUCGAGACCAGGACGUUGAUAGGUCGGGUGUGUACGCGCAGCAAUGCGUUUAGCUAACCGAUACUAAUUGCCCGUGCGGCUUGAUCCUAUAACCCUAUCGGGUUGUA
RNAcentral lists this ribosomal RNA (278 nucleotides) under Burkholderiales bacterium 21-58-4. Its description in RNAcentral is "partial 23S ribosomal RNA". It matches the Rfam family "Bacterial large subunit ribosomal RNA", at positions 2671 to 2925 of the family's 2925-position model. Lineage: Bacteria; Pseudomonadati; Pseudomonadota; Betaproteobacteria; Burkholderiales. The record is from RNAcentral.